AACAAACAAAAAACCCUGUGUGUGUCCAGCACACACCAACAAACGCACACACUCCCUGAAAACAAAUGAGGAUUAAGGACCCCAGAAACCCUGGUUCUCUGUGUUUGUAGAAACUGAAGUUGCAGUGGUGUCAAAGUUUUUAAUCCCUAGUAUUCCUCUUUUUAUGUCACAGUUGUGUCCCUUUUUAAAUACAAAAAUUUAAGAAAGGCAACCUGAGUAAACACAAAAUGCAGUUUUGAAAUUGACGGAUGAAAAACUUAACAUCAAGGAGCCAGUGUGGAAAACAAACUUAAAACUGUUUUUAACG
Thalassophryne amazonica is the source of this 307-nucleotide long non-coding RNA. RefSeq lists it as uncharacterized. NCBI's taxonomy places the organism in Eukaryota, Metazoa, Chordata, Actinopteri, Batrachoidiformes, Batrachoididae. The record is from RefSeq and is a predicted model, not a curated record. The transcript is spliced from 3 exons.